GCUGACCUACACUCGUCGCGUGUCCCACUCACCAUGACAGGCUACUGAAAAUGGCUGACAGCUGAUAAAAUCAUUAUUGCACCGUACCUAGAGCCACGCUCCGAUAGAAAUUCUAAAAAAAUCUUUUCGGAUCGCCUUGAUUUGAAAAGACUCCGACAUCAGUGCGUCAAAUGCCAAAAUACUGGAAACCAUCGAGUGCGAAAAUCGAGGGGGGCAACUUCGGCUGUGAGAAUUU
RNAcentral lists this long non-coding RNA (235 nucleotides) under Elaeis guineensis (African oil palm). RNAcentral's name for it is "long non-coding RNA (EGUI_LNC056241)". Lineage: Eukaryota; Viridiplantae; Streptophyta; Magnoliopsida; Arecales; Arecaceae. The record is from RNAcentral.